Molecule: long non-coding RNA, 448 nt
Filed under: Jatropha curcas
Lineage: Eukaryota; Viridiplantae; Streptophyta; Magnoliopsida; Malpighiales; Euphorbiaceae
Description: long non-coding RNA (JCUR_LNC001115)
Source: RNAcentral
UUUUUCAUUAAUUAGGGUGCAAUGAUUAUUAAGGUUUCAAUUUGUAAUUACAUAUUUCUAAAAUGAUAUUCAUGCAGGAAAAUUACCUCACAAAUUUGAGUCAGAUCUAAUUCUUUGCUAUGUUUUUGUCACGACCCAUUUCCAUGGACCGGAUCGGCACUAGGACCUGGGUGGGCUUAAGGCCCCCGAAGCCCGUAGUAAGCCUAUAUUAUGUAAAUCUCAUUUACUAUUAAUAAUUGUGGAUACAGGCCCAAUAAUUUAUUUCAAUUAUAUAUCACUAGUACAGUUCAUCUACAACCCACUAGAAUACAAUUGCGAAACUCUACCUGUACAUUUACAUCAUCAUUUAUUUAUCGUUCACAGUCUUCUAUACUUAUGUCUCAACUCCAUAGGAUUUUUCUUUCUUCUAUUACCUGAAAAAAAAAAAAAAAAAAAAAAAAAAAAAANN